Molecule: ribosomal RNA, 467 nt
Filed under: uncultured bacterium
Lineage: Bacteria
Description: partial 16S ribosomal RNA
Rfam family: Bacterial small subunit ribosomal RNA
Source: RNAcentral
GACGAACGCUGGCGGCGGGCUUAACACAUGCAAGUCGAACGGAAAGGCCCUGCUUUUGUGGGGUGCUCGAGUGGCGAACGGGUGAGUAACACGUGAGUAACCUGCCCUUGACUUUGGUAUAACUUCAGGAAACUGGGGCUACUACCGUAUAGGAGCUCCUGCUGCAUGGUGGGGGUUGGAAAGUUUCGGCUGUUGGGGAUGGACUCGCGGCUUAUCAGCUUGUUGGUGGGGGAGUGGCUUACCAAGGCUUUGACGGGUAGCCGGACUGGGAGGGAGACCGGCCACAGUGGGCCUGGGAUAGGGGCAGGAGUCAUACGGGAGGAAGGAGUGGGGAAUAUUGCACACUGGGCGGAAGCCUGAUGCAGCGACGCCGCGUGCGGGAUGACGGCUUUCGGGUUGUAAACCGCUUUCGCCUGUGACGCAGCGUGAGUGACGGUACUGGGUAAAGAAGCACCGGCUAACUACGU